GACGAACGCUGGCGGCGUGCUUAACACAUGCAAGUCGAACGGAAAGGCCCUGCUUUUGUGGGGUGCUCGAGUGGCGAACGGGUGAGUAACACGUGAGUAACCUGCCCUUGACUGUGGGAUAACUUCAUGAAACUGGGGCUAAUACCGGAUAGGAGCUCCUGCUGCAUGGUGGGGGUUGGAAAGUUUCGGCGGUUGGGGAUGGACUCGCGGCUUAUCAGCUUGUUGGUGGGGUAGUGGCUUACCAAGGCUUUGACGGGUAGCCGGCCUGAGAGGGUGACCGGCCACAUUGGGACUGAGAUACGGCCCAGACUCCUACGGGAGGCAGAAGUGGGGAAUAUUGCACAAUGGGCGGAAGCCUGAUGCAGCAAAGCCGCGUGCGGGAUGACGGCAUUCGGGUUGUAAACCGAUUUCGCCUGUGACGAAGCGUGAGUGACGGUAAUGGGUAAAGAAACACCGGCUAACUACGUG
Molecule: ribosomal RNA, 468 nt
Filed under: uncultured bacterium
Lineage: Bacteria
Description: partial 16S ribosomal RNA
Rfam family: Bacterial small subunit ribosomal RNA
Source: RNAcentral